ACUGCGGCACACUGCUUUCACCGAGAACAUCAGUGACAUUGGGUUACCACAGCCAGAGCAAGCGUUCCUCCUGGGCUUGUAUGCCUACUGUAUUACUGCCCUGAGCUUUGUUAGGAUUCCUGUCACUUUUACUCCCUGGUUUUCUUUAUUUGCUUCAUUAUUCUGUCCUGUUUUUCUUUCACAGAUUCCUUUGGGAGCCCUUCCUGUCCCCUUGUAAAGUAUGGCAUUCCCCAAAACUCUGUCCUUAGCUUCCUACUCCUCCUCACUCUGGAUUCUCACUGUAUGAUCACAAGAUUUAGUUAACAUAGCUGAUGGCUCCCAGUUUGUGUGCCAGUAUUUAGCUUUCAGACUCAAAUAUUUAGGAGCUGACUUUACAUUUCAGUCAUUCAUGGAACUAUUGAUUCAUCAAUUUUCUGAGUAUCUGCUAUCACCACACUCUUAAAAGACCAAGUCAUGAAAAUAUAGGUUUUGCAGUAUCAGUUGGGAAAGGUGGUAGGGGAUGAUGCAAAUGUGAUAACGCAGGGAAUCAUGUAUUCUGAGAGAAGCAAGCAAGGGGU
Molecule: long non-coding RNA, 557 nt
Filed under: Marmota monax (woodchuck)
Lineage: Eukaryota; Metazoa; Chordata; Mammalia; Rodentia; Sciuridae
Source: RNAcentral